UGCGUAGGCGGCCUUUCAGGUGGGGUGUGAAAGCCCACGGCUUAACCGUGGAAUUGCGCUCCAAACCGGAAGGCUUGAGGGAGAUAGGGGUGAGCGGAACUGAUGGUGGAGCGGUGAAAUGCGUUGAUAUCAUCAGGAACACCGGUGGCGAAGGCGGCUCACUGGGUCUCUUCUGACGCUGAGGCACGAAAGCUAGGGUAGCGAACG
RNAcentral lists this ribosomal RNA (207 nucleotides) under uncultured bacterium. Its description in RNAcentral is "partial 16S ribosomal RNA". It matches the Rfam family "Bacterial small subunit ribosomal RNA", at positions 568 to 774 of the family's 1533-position model. The record is from RNAcentral.